AGAGUUUGAUCCUGGCUCAGGACGAACGCUGGCGGCGUGCCUAACACAUGCAAGUCGAACGAUGAAUCCAGCACUCAACUGCCUUCAGAAAGACAGAACGAAGCAAGAACUUUCUGGUAGCAGUUGAGCGCUGGAGGAUUAGUGGCGGAUGGGUGAGUAACGCGUGAGCAACCUGCCCUGUACUGUGGGAUAGCCAAGGGAAACCUUGAUUAAUACCGCAUAAUCCCUUUUAACCGCAUGGAAAAGAGGGCAAAGAACUUCGGUACAGGAUGGGCUCGCGUCUGAUUAGCUAGUUGGUGUGAUAAAAGCGCACCAAGGCUGCGAUCAGUAACCGGCUUGAGAGAGUGAACGGUCACACUGGAACUGAGACACGGUCCAGACUCCUACGGGAGGCAGCAGUGGGGAAUAUUGCACAAUGGAGGAAACUCUGAUGCAGCGACGUCGCGUGAGCGAAGAAGGAAUUCGUUUCGUAAAGCUCUGUCCUAUGGGAAGAUAAUGACGGUACCAUAGGAGGAAGCCCCGGCUAACUACGUGCCAGCAGCCGCGGUAAUACGUAGGGGGCGAGCGUUGUCCGGAAUUAUUGGGCGUAAAGGGUACGUAGGCGGUUUUUUAAGUCUGGUGUGAAAUUGGUGGGCUCAACCCACCCAAGCAUUGGAAACUGGAAAGCUUGAGUCAUGGAGAGGAAAGUGGAAUUCCUAGUGUAGCGGUGAAAUGCGUAGAUAUUAGGAGGAAUACCGGUGGCGAAGGCGACUUUCUGGACAUGUACUGACGCUGAGGUACGAAAGCGUGGGGAGCAAACAGGAUUAGAUACCCUGGUAGUCCACGCCGUAAACGAUGAGUGCUAGGUGUUGGGGGUCAAACCUCGGUGCCGCAGUUAACACAUUAAGCACUCCGCCUGGGGAGUACGUGCGCAAGCAUGAA
RNAcentral lists this ribosomal RNA (921 nucleotides) under uncultured bacterium. Its description in RNAcentral is "bacterial SSU rRNA". It matches the Rfam family "Bacterial small subunit ribosomal RNA", at positions 8 to 898 of the family's 1533-position model. The record is from RNAcentral.